Acipenser ruthenus (sterlet) is the source of this 343-nucleotide long non-coding RNA. RefSeq lists it as uncharacterized. The transcript is spliced from 3 exons. The record is from RefSeq and is a predicted model, not a curated record. Lineage: Eukaryota; Metazoa; Chordata; Actinopteri; Acipenseriformes; Acipenseridae.
AGACAGAAGGAAUGGAGAGCCUGGCACUGCUGCUGCCCAAGAGCUGGCAGAAUGUUCCUCAGAAACAAACACCACUUCCUGCCACAAUGGGCCUGUUCUUUGCUCACUGAAUGGGAGCAGGUCUCAAUUUGCAGGUGUUCAGGUAUAAAGAGGAGGGAUGACAGCAGCAGAGAAAGGGGCUUUUCAAAACGCUGCACAGAUGUCAACAAGAGAGAAAAAAAGAAGAUAAUUUGUCCCAGUGCUGAUAAUUCGUCCCCAUUCAGGAUCAGCAUUUACCAGAAUGACAAAUUUCUUUUGAGUUCCAAAUCACAUCUUUAAUUUCUAAUUAACAUAACAAUGUAAA